RNAcentral lists this unclassified non-coding RNA (338 nucleotides) under soil metagenome. RNAcentral's name for it is "partial contains 5.8S ribosomal RNA, internal transcribed spacer 2, and large subunit ribosomal RNA". The stretch from base 1 to 120 matches the Rfam family "5.8S ribosomal RNA", at positions 35 to 154 of the family's 154-position model. The record is from RNAcentral.
GAUGAAGAACGUAGCGAAAUGCGAUAAGUAAUGCGAAUUGCAGAAUUCCGUGAGUCAUCGAAUCUUUGAACGCACAUUGCGCCCUUUGGCAUUCCGAAGGGCAUGCCUGUUCGAGCGUCAUUUAUCAACCCUCAAGCCCGGCUUGCGGUUGGGUCCCGCCGUGGGCGACCACGGCGGACCCGAAAGGUAAUGGCGGUGCCCGUGGGGCCCUGGACGCAGCGAGCUUCUCGGCACGCGUCCCGGCGGUCCCCGGCGCCGUCUCCACCAAUCCACCACGCAGAUUGACCUCGGAUCAGGUAGGGAUACCCGCUGAACUUAAGCAUAUCAAUAAGCGGAGA